Molecule: ribosomal RNA, 535 nt
Filed under: Branchinecta sandiegonensis
Lineage: Eukaryota; Metazoa; Arthropoda; Branchiopoda; Anostraca; Branchinectidae
Description: partial large subunit ribosomal RNA
Rfam family: Bacterial large subunit ribosomal RNA
Source: RNAcentral
CGCCUGUUUUUCAAAAACAUGGCCUUGUAUAUAUGCAAGGUCUGGCCUGCCCACUGAUUAUUUGAAGGGCCGUGGUAUUUUAACCAUGCGAAGGUAGCAUAAUCAUUUGCCUUUUAAUUGAGGGCUGGAAUGAAGGGUCGUUCGAGGGAUUAACUGUCUCUAACCUUUAUUUGAAAUUAAUCUUUUAGUGAAAAAGCUAAACUAUACUUGAAGGACGAUAAGACCCUAUAGAUCUUUAUAGAAACAAAAUUAGAAAUUGGCUGUAAGUUCUUUUUGCCCCUUCUAUUGAGUUGGGGCGACGCUAUAUGAAGAUAUAACAUUUAGUUUAUUUUAACACUUACAUGUGAUGACAAGAUCCUGGGAUGAGAAAAGGAGAUAGUUACCUUAGGGAUAACAGCGUAAUGGUUUUUGAAAGUUCAAAUUGACAAAACCGUUUACGACCUCGAUGUUGGUUCAGGGAUCCUAUUUAGCGCAGUAGCUUUAUAAGGGAGUCUGUUCGACUUUUAAAUCCCUACAUGAUCUGAUUUCAAACCGG